GUAACUUUGUGUUUGAGCGGUGCAGACUCUAUAAGAGGUAAUGACCUAUUAGAGAAAAGAAUACGCUGAAUGAGCAGUCCUUGUUUACACUGCCCUAAAGUUUCAGUUGUCCAAUUAUUGACAAGAAAAUUGUAUCAAUGUUAACAGGCAUAAGUAUGAUACCUCAGAAAGGACCACGGCUUGCUCAGCGGCAGACUAAUGAGGCAAAUGUCCAUUUGGUUAAAACCGUAGUGGUGGAUCUUCUGGGAGAGGAAAAGUGCACUUCUUAGCAGAUGACAUAGAGGCUUUGCACAAGUUCCAUCCAGACAUCUCAAUCAAUUAUAACCACAUUGCACUGAUUUCACUCUUGUUAUUGACUCAUGGAUCACCCCAGUUAUAGUGUUGGGUAGCACACCACUGGGCUUUUAGGGUGCGCAUGAUGGAUAACAGUACAAGAUGCAUUUGCGAUGCCGGUAUAAAUAAGAACAAUUUUUAUUAAUUUUCUCUUUUUUUUUUUUUUUUGGGGAGCAACUAGUAAAUUUUAAUCUUAAAGAAAAACUGGGAAACUUUGUAAAGCUUUGACUACGAAUGCACCAAAGUGCUCCAUGUAAAGUGCAAUAAUCUUUGCAAACCAGAUAACCAAUAAAGUGUCAGGUAAAGCUGAAAAAGAGGUGAAAACUCAAUCACAGGAAGAGAUAACAUUAACCAAUACACUUAAAGAGAGUGAACUUGAUGAACAGACAAGAUUACAGAAAUGUUAUUGAGUUUGAA
Poecilia latipinna (sailfin molly) is the source of this 750-nucleotide long non-coding RNA. RefSeq lists it as uncharacterized. The record is from RefSeq and is a predicted model, not a curated record. The transcript is spliced from 3 exons. NCBI's taxonomy places the organism in Eukaryota, Metazoa, Chordata, Actinopteri, Cyprinodontiformes, Poeciliidae.